GAUGAACGCUGGCGGCGUGCCUAAUACAUGCAAGUCGAGCGAACAGACGAGGAGCUUGCUCCUCUGACGUUAGCGACGGACGGGUGAGUAACACGUGGGUAACCUACCUAUAAGACUGGGAUAACUUCGGGAAACCGGAGCUAAUACCGGAUAAUAUAUUGAGCCGCAUGGUUCAAUAGUGAAAGACGGUUUUGCUGUCACUUAUAGAUGGAUCCGCGCCGCAUUAGCUAGUUGGUAAGGUAACGGCUUACCAAGGCAACGAUGCGUAGCCGACCUGAGAGGGUGAUCGGCCACACUGGAACUGAGACACGGUCCAGACUCCUACGGGAGGCAGCAGUAGGGAAUCUUCCGCAAUGGGCGAAAGCCUGACGGAGCAACGCCGCGUGAGUGAUGAAGGUCUUCGGAUCGUAAAACUCUGUUAUUAGGGAAGAACACAUGUGUAAGUAACUAUGCACGUCUUGACGGUACCUAAUCAGAAAGCCACGGCUAACUACGUG
This 497-nucleotide ribosomal RNA is filed under the name uncultured bacterium. Its description in RNAcentral is "partial 16S ribosomal RNA". It matches the Rfam family "Bacterial small subunit ribosomal RNA", at positions 28 to 507 of the family's 1533-position model. The record is from RNAcentral.